RNAcentral lists this transfer RNA (76 nucleotides) under Gammaproteobacteria bacterium. RNAcentral describes it as "tRNA-Thr". It matches the Rfam family "tRNA". Rfam says of the family: Transfer RNA (tRNA) molecules are approximately 80 nucleotides in length. Lineage: Bacteria; Pseudomonadati; Pseudomonadota; Gammaproteobacteria. The record is from RNAcentral.
GCCGGUUUAGCUCAUUCGGUAGAGCAACUGACUUGUAAUCAGUAGGUACCCAGUUCGAUUCCGGGAACCGGCACCA